GCUAUACAUGCAGUCGAGCGGAUCGAUGGGAGCUUGCUCCCUGAGAUCAGCGGCGGACGGGUGAGUAACACGUGGGUAACCUGCCUGUAAGACUGGGAUAACUCCGGGAAACCGGGGCUAAUACCGGAUAACACCUACCCCCGCAUGGGGGAAGGUUGAAAGGUGGCUUCGGCUAUCACUUACAGAUGGACCCGCGGCGCAUUAGCUAGUUGGUGAGGUAAUGGCUCACCAAGGCGACGAUGCGUAGCCGACCUGAGAGGGUGAUCGGCCACACUGGGACUGAGACACGGCCCAGACUCCUACGGGAGGCAGCAGUAGGGAAUCUUCCGCAAUGGACGAAAGUCUGACGGAGCAACGCCGCGUGAGUGAAGAAGGUUUUCGGAUCGUAAAACUCUGUUGUUAGGGAAGAACAAGUGCCGUUCGAAUAGGGCGGCGCCUUGACGGUACCUAACCAGAAAGCCACGGCUAACUACGUGCCAGCAGCCGCGGUAAUACGUAGGUGGCAAGCGUUGUCCGGAAUUAUUGGGCGUAAAGCGCGCGCAGGUGGUUUCUUAAGUCUGAUGUGAAAGCCCACGGCUCAACCGUGGAGGGUCAUUGGAAACUGGGGAACUUGAGUGCAGAAGAGGAAAGUGGAAUUCCAAGUGUAGCGGUGAAAUGCGUAGAUAU
RNAcentral lists this ribosomal RNA (666 nucleotides) under Rossellomorea marisflavi. RNAcentral's name for it is "bacterial SSU rRNA". It matches the Rfam family "Bacterial small subunit ribosomal RNA", at positions 48 to 697 of the family's 1533-position model. Lineage: Bacteria; Bacillati; Bacillota; Bacilli; Caryophanales; Bacillaceae. The record is from RNAcentral.